Molecule: long non-coding RNA, 634 nt
Filed under: Eucalyptus grandis
Lineage: Eukaryota; Viridiplantae; Streptophyta; Magnoliopsida; Myrtales; Myrtaceae
Description: long non-coding RNA (EGRA_LNC003848)
Source: RNAcentral
UAUAAUCCCGAAUAGCACCAUGUAGAAGCUACUACCAUAGUGACACCGAGCAUUGCGCCCUUCUCUGUGAUAGCAAUUCGAUUUCCCAAUAGCCCUGCAUCCACAAAUGGAUGCAAAUUUUCCAGGUAAACGCCAAAUUCAGUCUCCAAGAAAAAUUCCCUUAAAAUAUGGCACAUUCGCCAGCAUAAUAUUACUAUACAUUACUCAGAGCAUAGUACCUCAUACAGGUUGCAGUAGUUAUAACGUAGGCUAUGUCUGUGCCAUACAAGCUCAGAUACUGAAGCAAACCACAUACCCACGUUCUUUUCGUACCUGAAAUGGACAACUGAACAUAGUAGGAUCGACACACCGAGGACCACCAUCUAAAGUAAAUUCUCUCACGCGAAAUCAGACAACCAUUCGGAUAAUAAAGUAAGUUAAAGACUUAGUUGUUUUCCUACCAAGAUUUACUCUAACCGCAUCCAUGUAAGAAUAAUUCCGCGUUCCUUUUAUGGAGUCAGGAGACCGGUAACAAUCUGACAGAAGGAAAGCGGAGAUGUAGGUGAUUAUCGCGAAACAAAGCAAGGACACUGGCCCCCCUAUCCACCCCAGCUGUGCCGUACUCCAAGCUAGAGACAGAACUCCGGCUCCAAUG